GAAACUCAAAUGAAGUUGACGGGACCCGCACAAGCGGUGGAUGAUGUGGUUUAAUUCGAUGCAACGCGAAAACCUUACCCACCUUUGACAUGGCAGGAAUCCCGAAGAGAUUUGGGAGUGCUCGAAAGAGAACCUGCACACAGGUGCUGCAUGGCUGUCGUCAGCUCGUGUCGUGAGAUGUUGGGUUAAGUCCCGCAACGAGCGCAACCCUUGCCAUUAGUUGCUACGAAAGGGCACUCUAAUGGGACUGCCGGUGACAAACCGGAGGAAGGUGGGGAUGACGUCAAGUCCUCAUGGCCCUUAUAGGUGGGGCUACACACGUCAUACAAUGGCCGGUACAGAGGGUAGCCAACCCGCGAGGGGGAGCCAAUCCCACAAAGCCGGUCGUAGUCCGGAUCGCAGUCUGCAACUCGACUGCGUGAAGUCGGAAUCGCUAGUAAUCGCGGAUCAGCAUGUCGCGGUGAAUACGUUCCCGGGUCUU
This 481-nucleotide ribosomal RNA is filed under the name uncultured Allobrachymonas sp. RNAcentral describes it as "bacterial SSU rRNA". It matches the Rfam family "Bacterial small subunit ribosomal RNA", at positions 896 to 1382 of the family's 1533-position model. Lineage: Bacteria; Pseudomonadati; Pseudomonadota; Betaproteobacteria; Burkholderiales; Comamonadaceae. The record is from RNAcentral.